GACGAACGCUGGCGGCGUGCUUAACACAUGCAAGUCGAACGGAAAGGCCCCCUUGUGGGGUACUCGAGUGGCGAACGGGUGAGUAACACGUGAGUAACCUACCCUUUACUUUGGGAUAACUUCAGGAAACUGGGGCUAAUACCGGAUAGGAGCUCCUGCUGCAUGGUGGGGGUUGGAAAGUUACGGCGGUUGGGGAUGGACUCGCGGCUUAUCAGCUUGUUGGUGGGGUAGUGGCUCACCAAGGCUUUGACGGGUAGCCGGCCUGAGAGGGUGACCGGCCACAUUGGGACUGAGCUACGGCCCAGACUCCUACGGGAGGCAGCAGUGGGGAAUAUUGCACAAUGGGCGGAAGCCUGAUGCAGCAACGCCGCGUGCGGGAUGACGGCCUUCGGGUUGUAAACCGCUUUCGCCUGUGACGAAGCGUGAGUGACGGUAAUGGGUAAAGAAGCACCGGCUAACUACGUG
Molecule: ribosomal RNA, 465 nt
Filed under: uncultured bacterium
Lineage: Bacteria
Description: partial 16S ribosomal RNA
Rfam family: Bacterial small subunit ribosomal RNA
Source: RNAcentral